GGAAUUUUGGACAAUGGGCGAAAGCCUGAUCCAGCCAUGCCGCGUGCAGGAUGAAGGCCUUCGGGUUGUAAACUGCUUUUGUACGGAACGAAAAGACUCCUUCUAAUAAAGGGGGUCCAUGACGGUACCGUAAGAAUAAGCACCGGCUAACUACGUGCCAGCAGCCGCGGUAAUACGUAGGGUGCGAGCGUUAAUCGGAAUUACUGGGCGUAAAGCGUGCGCAGGCGGUUAUAUAAGACAGUUGUGAAAUCCCCGGGCUCAACCUGGGAACUGCAUCUGUGACUGUAUAGCUAGAGUACGGUAGAGGGGGAUGGAAUUCCGCGUGUAGCAGUGAAAUGCGUAGAUAUGCGGAGGAACACCGAUGGCGAAGGCAAUCCCCUGGACCUGUACUGACGCUCAUGCACGAAAGCGUGGGGAGCAAACAGGAUUAGAUACCCGAG
Molecule: ribosomal RNA, 440 nt
Filed under: uncultured Acidovorax sp.
Lineage: Bacteria; Pseudomonadati; Pseudomonadota; Betaproteobacteria; Burkholderiales; Comamonadaceae
Description: bacterial SSU rRNA
Rfam family: Bacterial small subunit ribosomal RNA
Source: RNAcentral